RNAcentral lists this ribosomal RNA (406 nucleotides) under uncultured bacterium. RNAcentral describes it as "partial 16S ribosomal RNA". It matches the Rfam family "Bacterial small subunit ribosomal RNA", at positions 30 to 526 of the family's 1533-position model. The record is from RNAcentral.
AUUGAACGCUGGCGGCAGGCUUAACACAUGCAAGUCGAGCGAGCGGCGGACGGGUGAGUAAUGUCUGGGAAACUGCCUGAUGGAGGGGGAUAACUACUGGAAACGGUAGCUAAUACCGCAUACCAUCAGAUGUGCCCAGAUGGGAUUAGCUAGUAGGUGGGGUAAUGGCUCACCUAGGCGACGAUCCCUAGCUGGUCUGAGAGGAUGACCAGCCCCACUGGAACUGAGCCACGGUCCAGCCUCCUACGGGAGGCAGCAGUGGGGAAUAUUGCACAAUGGGCGCAAGCCUGAUGCAGCCAUGCAGCGUGUGUGAAGAAGGCCUUCGGGUUGUAAAGCACUUUCGGCGAGGAGGCGUUACUCGCAGAAGAAGCACCGGCUAACUCCGUGCCAGCAGCCGCGGUAAUUC